Molecule: long non-coding RNA, 240 nt
Filed under: Elaeis guineensis (African oil palm)
Lineage: Eukaryota; Viridiplantae; Streptophyta; Magnoliopsida; Arecales; Arecaceae
Description: long non-coding RNA (EGUI_LNC048930)
Source: RNAcentral
GGUGGAGGUCAUAGUGGACAAGGUCGCGGUGAGAAUGCGUCCUAUUUUAUGAAUUUCCCUUCUUAAAAAAAAGGAAAGACCUCAUCCCUUGAUUGUAAAGAUUUUAGGAAAAACCACAGUAAUGUGCUUCACUUUUAGUGGCCUUUGAACAGAUUAUAAAGGCAGGGAAUUUAAUGAAUAGAAGCUGUUAUUGCUGCUUAACAUAUUAGGAAGAUAUGUAUUUCGUAAGAAAUCUAAUCA